AUACGGAGGGUGCGAGCGUUAUUCGGAAUCACUGGGCGUAAAGGACGCGUAGGCGGGUUGGCAAGUCAGAUGUGAAAUCCUACAGCUUAACUGUAGAACUGCAUUUGAAACUGCUAACCUAGAGUAUGGGAGGGGGAGAUGGAAUUAGUGGUGUAGGGGUAAAAUCCGUAGAUAUCACUAGGAAUACCGAAAGCGAAGGCGAUCUCCUGGAACAUAACUGACGCUAAGGCGUGAAAGCGUGGGGAGCAAACAGGAUUAGAUACCCUUGUAGUCC
Molecule: ribosomal RNA, 274 nt
Filed under: uncultured bacterium
Lineage: Bacteria
Description: partial 16S ribosomal RNA
Rfam family: Bacterial small subunit ribosomal RNA
Source: RNAcentral